CAUGGGAGACACACAGCGGGUGCUAACGUCCGUUGUGGAAAGGGAAACAACCCAGAUCGCCAACUAAGGUCCCAAAAUUACAGCUAAGUGGGAAACGAAGUGAGAAGUCAAAGACAGCCAGGAGGUUGGCUUAGAAGCAGCCAUCCUUUAAAGAAAGCGUAAUAGCUCACUGGUCAAGCCGACUUGCGCGGAAGAUUUAACGGGGCUUAAGCUGUAUACCGAAGUUGCGAAUGCUUAUUUUUUAAUAAGCGUGGUAGGGGAGCGUUCUGUAAGUCAAUGAAGGCAUAUUGUGAGAUAUGCUGGAGAUAUCAGAAGUGAGAAUGCUGACAUGAGUAACGAUAAUGCGGGUGAAAAACCCGCACGCCGAAAACCCAAGGGUUCCUGCGCAACGUUAAUCGACGCAGGGUUAGUCGGUACCUAAGGCGAGACCGAAAGGUGUAGUCGAUGGACAACAGGUUAAUAUUCCUGUACCGCGUAUACUGCGAUGGGGGGACGGAGAAGGCUAAGCUUACCGGGUGUUGGUUAUCCCGGGGAAAGUAUGUAGGUAGAGAACUUUGGAAAAUCCGGGUUCUUAUUACUGAGAUACGAGACCAUUGAUUUUUUAAUCAAGAAGUAGCUGAUGCCAUGCUUCCAAGAAAAGCCUCUAAGCUUCAGGUAUUACGCGACCGUACCCCAAACCGACACAGGUGGGUGGGAUGAGAAUUCUAAGGCGCUUGAGAAAACUCUGGUGAAGGAACUAGGCAAAUUGGUACCGUAACUUCGGAAGAAGGUACGCCUCUGUUGGUGAUUGAACUUGCUUCAUGAGCUGAUGGAGGUCUCAGAAACCAGGUGGCUGCGACUGUUUAAUAAAAACACAGCACUCUGCUAACUCGUAAGAGGAUGUAUAGGGUGUGACGCCUGCCCGGUGCCGGAAGGUUAAUUGAUCGAGUUAGCCCUUUUGGGCGAAGCCCGUGAUCGAAGCCCCGGUGAACGGCGGCCGUAACUAUAACGGUCCUAAGGUAGCGAAAUUCCUUGUCGGGUAAGUUCCGACCUGCACGAAUGGCGUAACGAUGGCCACACUGUCUCCACCAGAGACUCAGUGAAAUUGAAAUAGCUGUGAAGAUGCAGUUUAAACGCGGCAAGACGGAAAGACCCCGUGCACCUUUACUACAGCUUUACAUUGGAUUUUGAAUCUGUUUGUGCAGGAUAGGUGGGAGGCUAUGAAGCAUAUGCGUCAGCAUAUGUGGAGCCAUCCUUGAAAUACCACCCUGACAUAUUUGAAGUUCUAACCUCGACCCGUUACCCGGGUUAGGGACAUUGUAUGGUGGGUAGUUUGGCUGGGGCGGUCUCCUCCUAAAGAGUAACGGAGGAGCACAAAGGUUCUCUCAGCGCGGUCGGUAUCGCGCACUAAGAGUGCAAAGGCAUAAGAGAGCUUGACUGCGAGACAGACAUGUCGAGCAGGAGCGAAAGCUGGUCUUAGUGAUCCGGUGGUUCUGUAUGGAAGGGCCAUCGCUCAACGGAUAAAAGGUACGCCGGGGAUAACAGGCUAAUUCCUCCCAAGAGUUCACAUCGACGGAGGAGUUUGGCACCUCGAUGUCGGCUCAUCACAUCCUGGGGCUGUAGCAGGUCCCAAGGGUAUGGCUGUUCGCCAUUUAAAGUGGUACGCGAGCUGGGUUUAGAACGUCGUGAGACAGUUCGGUCCCUAUCUGCCGUGUUCGUUGGAAACUUGAAGGGAGCUGCUCCUAGUACGAGAGGACCGGAGUGGACGUACCCCUGGUGUUCCGGUUGUCACGCCAGUGGCACUGCCGGGUAGCUAUGUACGGAAGGGAUAACCGCUGAAAGCAUCUAAGCGGGAAGCCCACCCUAAGAUAAGGUUUCCCUGGAUCCUUGAGAUCCCUGAAGGGCCAUCAAAGACUAUGAUGUUGAUAGGUCGGGUGUGGAAGCUCAGUAAUGAGUGUAGCUAACCGAUACUAAUUACCCGUGAGGCUUGGUCAU
This 1974-nucleotide ribosomal RNA is filed under the name marine metagenome. RNAcentral describes it as "bacterial LSU rRNA". It matches the Rfam family "Bacterial large subunit ribosomal RNA", at positions 976 to 2925 of the family's 2925-position model. The record is from RNAcentral.